RNAcentral lists this ribosomal RNA (497 nucleotides) under uncultured bacterium. RNAcentral's name for it is "partial 16S ribosomal RNA". It matches the Rfam family "Bacterial small subunit ribosomal RNA", at positions 28 to 507 of the family's 1533-position model. The record is from RNAcentral.
GAUGAACGCUGGCGGCGUGCCUAAUACAUGCAAGUCGAGCGAACAGACGAGGCGCUUGCUCCUCUGACGUUAGCGGCGGACGGGUGAGUAACACGUGGAUAACCUACCUAUAAGACUGGGAUAACUUCGGGAAACCGGAGCUAAUACCGGAUAACAUGUUGAACCGCAUGGUUCAACAGUGAAAGACGGUCUUGCUGUCACUUAUAGAUGGAUCCGCGCCGCAUUAGCUAGUUGGUAAGGUAACGGCUUACCAAGGCAACGAUGCGUAGCCGACCUGAGAGGGGGAUCGGCCACACUGGAAAUGAGACACGGUCAAGACUCCUAAGGGAGGCAGCAGUAGGGAAUCUGCCGCAAUGGGCGAAAGCCUGACGGAGCAACGCCGAGUGAGUGAAGAAGGUCUUCGGAUCGUAAAAAUCUGUUAUUAGGGAAGAACAAAUGUGUAAGUAACUAUGCACGUCUUGACGGUACCUAAUCAGAAAGCCACGGCUAACUACGUG